This 497-nucleotide ribosomal RNA is filed under the name uncultured bacterium. RNAcentral describes it as "partial 16S ribosomal RNA". It matches the Rfam family "Bacterial small subunit ribosomal RNA", at positions 28 to 507 of the family's 1533-position model. The record is from RNAcentral.
GAUGAACGCUGGCGGCGUGCCUAAUACAUGCAAGUCGAGCGAACAGACGAGGAGCUUGCUCCUCUGACGUUAGCGGCGGACGGGUGAGUAACACGUGGAUAACCUACCUAUAAGACUGGGAUAACUUCGGGAAACCGGAGCUAAUACCGGAUAAUAUAUUGAACCGCAUGGUUCAAUAGUGAAAGACGAUUUUGCUGUCACUUAUAGAUGGAUCCGCGCCGCAUUAGCUAGUUGGUAAGGUAACGGCUUACCAAGGCGACGAUGCGUAGCCGACCUGAGAGGGUGAUCGGCCACACUGGAACUGAGACACGGUCCAGACUCCUACGGGAGGCAGCAGUAGGGAAUCUUCCGCAAUGGGCGAAAGCCUGACGGAGCAACGCCGCGUGAGUGAUGAAGGUCUUCGGAUCGUAAAACUCUGUUAUUAGGGAAGAACAAAUGUGUAAGUAACUAUGCACGUCUUGACGGUACCUAAUCAGAAAGCCACGGCUAACUACGUG